GUGGAAGAGGCAGGAGUGAUCGAAUUUUAAGUGUCGCGCCGUGAUGUGUGUUUAAAGUUGAGUCAGCUAAGGAAAAGUGCCAAGUUCCGUAUAGCUACUAGUUUCGUGCGUGUGUUUUAGUAUUGUGCAGGUUUGUGGCAUACUGCGAAACCCCACACAUCGCACCCCAAAGCCAACGAUCGCUUCUGACCCCACCGUCAGCUACGAGGGUUUCCCGGAAGUACGUCGACCGGAAGAGGGCUUGCGUACGUUUCAUCGCGCCCUAGGCAGAGGUUGCAGUCAUCCGCGUUCAUCAUUGAAUUGCGCCAACCACAUACAGUUCAUCACCGCGAC
Molecule: long non-coding RNA, 333 nt
Organism: Armigeres subalbatus
Lineage: Eukaryota; Metazoa; Arthropoda; Insecta; Diptera; Culicidae
Exons: 3
Source: RefSeq, a predicted model, not a curated record